UAUUUCACCCAAUUAGCUGAUUUUUAAGUGUAAAUCUCUACAUCUUCACUGCAGCAUUCCUACUUUUCUACAACCUUCACGCUUUUCUCUGCUUUUGUCUCAGCACAAUCGGACUGUAAGCUGUGGGUUAUUGACCGCAAGUGUUUUCAGACCGCGCUCAUGCACUGCAGUCUCAGCCGGCUUUCUCAUUCAGCGGAGCUGCUGGGAAGCCUUCCCCUCCUGCAGUCAUUGCCAGAGGAUGUCAUCAUGAAGAUUUCUGAGCUCGUGAAAGAGGUGAGCUCCUCAGAUGUACUUCUAACAGAAUCUGGGUUGCAUGUCCACACAUGAAGUCCAUGUACAACUUUCUGUAACACUCUUACAUUCAAUAUGCAACACUUUUCCUGCUUCCUCCUGUGAUUUUUUUAUGUCUUCUCAUACAGACAAAUUAUGCAGAUGGUGAAUACAUAAUUCACCAAGGAGCCGUGGAAGACAACCUUUAUGUCAUCAGCAAAGGACAGGUAAAGCUACAUUUCCUCCUUCAUACGAUAGUUAACGUGAGAAAUGAAAAAAUCUGAAUAUUCUUUCUAUUGUACCUGACAGGUGACUCUGACAGAAAUGAAGGCGGGGCAUGAGGAGCACACCGUCUUGUCUGAGCUCUCUGAGGAGCCAUGGUUUGGAGAGAACGCUGUUUGGAGGUCAGGUGGAACAGUCUCACGGGAUGUCCUGACAAAGCUGGAAUAUUUUAUUGUAAAAUCUCAUUUAUCUCUGGUUUUCUGACAUAGUUUGUUGACUCUGUUCCCUCAGGGAAGACACUUGGACUGUGAGUGCAAUGGCUGUCGGUGCAGUGACAUGUUUGGUAAUAGACAGAGAGUAAGCAAGAAUUUUAUAGUAGAAACAUUUAUUGAUUUAUUUGUAUUUUGUCUCGAGUGAGCUUUUCAGUAAGUUUUAAAGUGAAAAAGCUUCUAAACUUAGACAUGCAGUAAUUGUGUUUCAUCAGCACACAGCUUGGGUGAUAUAGAUUUUUUCAAGCUGAGUAGAAAAAAAAGAUUAAAAUAAUAGUUUGAUUAGUGUAAAACGUUUAAAAACAAGGUGAUGUAGAAAAUGGAGUGUAACAGUGGGUCUCUUUUGAAAAAAAGACUGAUUGAGGGUAAUUAAUCAGAGCUGAACAAUAAUGUGACAUUUCAUAGGGUUUUUCUGUACUUAGGGUUGAAAAAUAUUAUGAAUCUUGUCAGUUGAAAUCAGUCGAGCUCUGAUUUGUGGUGAAUAAACCAAGGCACUAAGGUUUUUUCAAGUGAAGUCUUCUCAGGUUUAAAAUACAAACAA
This 1302-nucleotide long non-coding RNA is filed under the name Oryzias javanicus (javanese ricefish). RNAcentral describes it as "lncRNA (ENSOJAG00000013855.1)". The record is from RNAcentral. Lineage: Eukaryota; Metazoa; Chordata; Actinopteri; Beloniformes; Adrianichthyidae.